UCGAUGGAGGAAAAAGGCCACUAGAUGCAGCAGAACAGACAACACAUCAGCUACAGUAUAUCGUUACGCUGUUUUCAAUUUCUUCUAGUAUCUUAUACGUUCAGGAAAGGGUUCCUGGGAUCUAGAUCGGGUUCUAGAUCUUGUUCUGGUGUUGGUGAGAAUCUAGUCCCUGUGUGUGUGUGUGUGUGUGUGUGUGUGGGUGUGUGUGUGUGUGUGUGUGUGUGUGU
Tachysurus fulvidraco (yellow catfish) is the source of this 227-nucleotide long non-coding RNA. RefSeq lists it as uncharacterized. NCBI's taxonomy places the organism in Eukaryota, Metazoa, Chordata, Actinopteri, Siluriformes, Bagridae. The transcript has 2 exons. The record is from RefSeq and is a predicted model, not a curated record.